RNAcentral lists this ribosomal RNA (401 nucleotides) under uncultured bacterium. Its description in RNAcentral is "bacterial SSU rRNA". It matches the Rfam family "Bacterial small subunit ribosomal RNA", at positions 362 to 757 of the family's 1533-position model. The record is from RNAcentral.
UUUUGGACAAUGGGCGCAAGCCUGAUCCAGCCAUUCCGCGUGAGUGAAGAAGGCCUUCGGGUUGUAAAGCUCUUUCGCAAGGGAAGAAAACUUACUUUCUAAUAAAGAGUGAGGUUGACGGUACCUUGAUAAGAAGCACCGGCUAACUACGUGCCAGCAGCCGCGGUAAUACGUAGGGUGCGAGCGUUAAUCGGAAUUACUGGGCGUAAAGCGUGCGCAGGCGGCUUUGUAAGUCAGAUGUGAAAUCCCCGAGCUCAACUUGGGAACUGCGUUUGAAACUACAAGGCUAGAAUAUGUCAGAGGGGGGUAGAAUUCCACGUGUAGCAGUGAAAUGCGUAGAGAUGGGAGGAAUACCAAUGGCGAAGGCAGCCCCCUGGAUAAUAUUGACGCUCAUGCACGAA